RNAcentral lists this transfer RNA (84 nucleotides) under Auricularia subglabra TFB-10046 SS5. It matches the Rfam family "tRNA". Rfam says of the family: Transfer RNA (tRNA) molecules are approximately 80 nucleotides in length. Their secondary structure includes four short double-helical elements and three loops (D, anti-codon, and T loops). The record is from Rfam by way of RNAcentral. Lineage: Eukaryota; Fungi; Basidiomycota; Agaricomycetes; Auriculariales; Auriculariaceae.
ACGUCCUUGGUGAAGUGGUUAUCAUGCUUGCCUUCCAUCGUAAGACUCUAGCAAGCGGGCCGGGUUCGAUUCCCGGAGGGCGUA